Molecule: unclassified non-coding RNA, 341 nt
Filed under: Hevea brasiliensis (rubber tree)
Lineage: Eukaryota; Viridiplantae; Streptophyta; Magnoliopsida; Malpighiales; Euphorbiaceae
Source: RNAcentral
GAAGUUCAGGAACUGAGAGCACUGAAACUUUCCCCACAGUUCUACAUGCAAAUGAACCCACCCACCACGCUCACCAUGUGCCCCUCAUGUGAGCGUGUUGCUGUCCCACCAGCCGCAUCAUCAACCGUUGGUCCCUCGCAUCCUCGCAUGGGUCCCACUCACCACCACAGGCCCAUCCCCAUUAACCCGUGGCCCCCAACAGCGCCAGCAGCCCUGUUUUAUGGCCUGCGUCCUCGGUCGUGAUUAAGAAUCAUAAACGAGGACAUUUUGGUCAUUAUAAGAAAUUAUUAAUGAUCCUAUAUUUAUGUUAGAAAAGAGGAGGUUGGAAAGUGUAAAAUAUG